GACGAACGCUGGCGGCGUGCUUAAUACAUGCAAGUCAACUGAAUUAUCGGUAGCAAUACUGGUAAGGAGGUGGCGCACGGGUGCGUAACGCGUAGGUAAUCUGCCCUUGGGUCUGACAUAACCCGCCGAAAGGCGAGCUAAUAUCAGAUGAUGCAGCGGCUUGACAUCAAGACAGUUGUUAAAGCUUGAGCAAUCAAUGCGCCCAUGGANGAGCCUGCGUCUGAUUAGGUAGUUGGCGGAGUAAAAGACCCACCAAGCCCACGAUCAGUAGCUGGUCUGAGAGGAUGAUCAGCCACACU
RNAcentral lists this ribosomal RNA (299 nucleotides) under uncultured bacterium. RNAcentral describes it as "partial 16S ribosomal RNA". It matches the Rfam family "Bacterial small subunit ribosomal RNA", at positions 28 to 314 of the family's 1533-position model. The record is from RNAcentral.